This 338-nucleotide ribosomal RNA is filed under the name uncultured bacterium. RNAcentral describes it as "bacterial SSU rRNA". It matches the Rfam family "Bacterial small subunit ribosomal RNA", at positions 28 to 369 of the family's 1533-position model. The record is from RNAcentral.
GACGAACGCUGGCGGCGUGCUUAACACAUGCAAGUCGAGCGGUAAGGCCCUUUCGGGGGUACACGAGCGGCGAACGGGUGAGUAACACGUGGGUGACCUGCCCUCAGCUCUGGGAUAAGCCUGGGAAACCGGGUCUAAUACUGGAUAUGACUCCAUGACGCAUGUUGUGGGGUGGAAAGCCUUGUGCGGCUGAGGAUGGGCCCGCGGCCUAUCAGCUUGUUGGUGGGGUGAGGCCUACCAAGGCGACGACGGGUAGCCGCCUGAGAGGGCGACCGGCCACACUGGGACUGAGACACGGCCCAGACUCCUACGGGAGGCAGCAGUGGGGAAUCUUGCGC